Molecule: ribosomal RNA, 468 nt
Filed under: uncultured bacterium
Lineage: Bacteria
Description: partial 16S ribosomal RNA
Rfam family: Bacterial small subunit ribosomal RNA
Source: RNAcentral
GACGAACGCUGGCGGCGUGCUUAACACAUGCAAGUCGAACGGAAAGGCCCUGCUUUUGUGGGGUGCUCGAGUGGCGAACGGGUGAGUAACACGUGAGUAACCUGCCCUUGACUUUGGGAUAACUUCAGGAAACUGGGGCUAAUACCGGAUAUGAUCUCCUGCUGCAUGGUGGGGGUUGGAAAGUUUCGGCGGUUGGGGCUGGACUCGCGGCUUAUCAGCUUGUUGGUGGGGUAGUGGCUUACCAAGGCUUUGACGGGUAGCCGGCCUGAGAGGGUGACCGGCGACAAUGGGACUGAGAUACGGCCCAGACGGCUACGGGAGGCAGCAGUGGGGAAUAUUGCACAAUGGGCGGAAGCCUGAUGCAGCAACGCCGCGUGCGGGAUGACGGCCUUCGGGUUGUAAACAACUUUCGACUGUGACGAAGAGUGAGUGACGGUAAUGGGUAAAGAAGCACCGGCUAACUACGUG